RNAcentral lists this long non-coding RNA (1263 nucleotides) under Chinchilla lanigera (long-tailed chinchilla). RNAcentral's name for it is "lncRNA (ENSCLAG00000024713.1)". The record is from RNAcentral. Lineage: Eukaryota; Metazoa; Chordata; Mammalia; Rodentia; Chinchillidae.
CCUGUGAGCAUGGGUAGUUCCAGGAGCCCCAGCUGACAGAGACCACUAUGAAAAGGCUCUGGGAAGGAUUUCGUAUUAACCAAUUGGCUUUUCAUGUUUACAUAGCCAACAGCUGAGUCAGUCCACAGUCUAGAAGCCCCUGAAGGAAGCACAGACUGGACUCCCUGAGGACUGGUAUGCUGUCUUUGCAUGCUGUUUCCUUCAGACGUGUUUAAUGAAGAAGCUGAACAGAUACAUCUCCAGCCCAGCAUUUGCGAUUUAUUCCUUGAUUUUGGAAGUCUGGGAAGAACACCCAGCUGGCAAAGAGAAAAUUUGCAACAGUGAUUCUGAGUUUGAAUGGAAGCUGAACACAGGAGAUUUACCAGGAAGACAAGACUUCAUCUUGAGUCCAGUCUCCCCAGCUUUGUCAUAGCAAGUUCCAGCUUGUGCAUUGCAGGCAGGACCACUUGACUUACCCCCAACGAUGGUGACGUCACACGGCUUGAAGCUUUGGUUCUAAAGCCUUUCUUACAUCUUUGCAAGAUUCACGUUUGUGCUUUCUCCCCAUCAGUCUUACGAUCAGUUGUGAUCCUUGAAUAGGAAUGAGACUGGCUUCUGGGGCAGGUCUGCAGUAUAUGCUGCUGUGUCCUUAAGAGCUAAGAGCUGGCUGAAAAUGCCCAGACCCACAGCUUUUUCCAGAAGUGCAUCACACUGUCCGGGAAGCAGCUGGUGCCUGCGUUGAGGGUCUCUACGGACUGCAUGAGACAAACGUGGAAGUGCUGAAGGAGAGUCCCCGCUGCGAUGGCUCUGAUGUGGACAGUCACUGAUGUGGGUGACGAGGGACAGGGGCCAGGCAGUGCUGAGUCACAGUGCAGGGACAGCUCUCUGCUUCUUGUCCCUUGCGUCCACUUGAAAUUCUCUUAAGUUAAAAGACUGUGAUGAAUAGCUGUCUGACUGCCCUACUUAGCAACAAUUUGUUAACAUCCUUUGCAGUGUUGGCAGAAGGUUAUAUGUGGAAGUUUCACUUAAUUGUGUUUUAAACUUUUAAGAUGAAAAUUAGUUCAGUUUGUUUCUUCUGUAUCAAGUGCCGUGCACUGAAGUGUUCUCAUGACGGUUUUCUCCUUUGUGGGGAAUUCCACAUCACACACACGGGAAUGCAUCUCUAGCCAAGUGAAACAUUUGGGGCAGCACUGCAUAUCAAGAGGAGGGAGAAACAGCACCUGGCCGGCCUGUACCUGAGUGACUAUGUGACUGCUGGUGUCUUGCUGGUCAUGACUGUGAGGC